Molecule: ribosomal RNA, 253 nt
Filed under: uncultured bacterium
Lineage: Bacteria
Description: partial 16S ribosomal RNA
Rfam family: Bacterial small subunit ribosomal RNA
Source: RNAcentral
UACGAAGGGGGCUAGCGUUGUUCGGAUUUACUGGGCGUAAAGCGCACGUAGGCGGAUUGUUAAGUGAGAGGUGAAAUCCCAGAGCUCAACUCUGGAACUGCCUUUCAUACUGGCAAGCUAGAGUCCGGAAGAGGUAAGUGGAACUCCUAGUGUAGAGGUGGAAUUCGUAGAUAUUAGGAAGAACACCAGUGGCGAAGGCGGCUUACUGGUCCGGAACUGACGCUGAGGUGCGAAAGCGUGGGGAGCAAACAGG